Molecule: transfer RNA, 90 nt
Filed under: Nitrospira sp.
Lineage: Bacteria; Pseudomonadati; Nitrospirota; Nitrospiria; Nitrospirales; Nitrospiraceae
Also listed under: 17 other names
Description: tRNA-Ser
Rfam family: tRNA
About the family: Transfer RNA (tRNA) molecules are approximately 80 nucleotides in length.
Source: RNAcentral
GGAAGAGUGGCCGAGUGGUUGAUGGCUCCAGUCUUGAAAACUGGCGUACCUGAAAGGGUAUCGGGGGUUCGAAUCCCUCCUCUUCCGCCA